GACGUAGGGUGCGAGCGUUGUCCGGAUUUAUUGGGCGUAAAGAGCUCGUAGGCGGCUCGUCGCGUCGACCGUGAAAACCCGCGGCUUAACUGCGGGCUUGCGGUUGAUACGGGCGGGCUAGAGUUCGGUAGGGGAGACUGGAAUUCCUGGUGUAGCGGUGAAAUGCGCAGAUAUCAGGAGGAACACCGGUGGCGAAGGCGGGUCUCUGGGACGUGACUGACGCUGAGACGCGAAAGCGUGGGGAGCAAACAGG
RNAcentral lists this ribosomal RNA (253 nucleotides) under uncultured bacterium. RNAcentral's name for it is "partial 16S ribosomal RNA". It matches the Rfam family "Bacterial small subunit ribosomal RNA", at positions 524 to 776 of the family's 1533-position model. The record is from RNAcentral.